Molecule: ribosomal RNA, 814 nt
Filed under: uncultured Pelagibacterales bacterium
Lineage: Bacteria; Pseudomonadati; Pseudomonadota; Alphaproteobacteria; Candidatus Pelagibacterales
Description: SSU rRNA
Rfam family: Bacterial small subunit ribosomal RNA
Source: RNAcentral
GGCGGCACGCNUAACACAUGCAAGUCGAACGAAGUAGCAAUACUUAGUGGCGAACGGGUGAGUAUAAUAUGGGUAUCUGCCUUUUGGUUUGGAAUAACACGGGGAAACUUGUGCUAAUACCAGAUAAGCCUUUACAGGGAAAGUUUUAACGCCGAAAGAUGAGCCCAUACUUGAUUAGCUAGUUGGUAAGGUAAUGGCUUACCAAGGCUACGAUCAAUAGCUGAUCUGAGAGGAUGAUCAGCCACAUUGGGACUGAGACACGGCCCAAACUCCUACGGGGGGCAGCAGUGGGGAAUAUUGCACAAUGGGGGAAACCCUGAUGCAGCGAUGCCGCGUGAGUGAAGAAGGCCUUUGGGUUGUAAAGCUCUUUCGUCGGGGAAGAAAAUGACUGUACCCGAAUAAGAAGGUCCGGCUAACUUCGUGCCAGCAGCCGCGGUAAUACGAAGGGACCUAGCGUAGUUCGGAAUUACUGGGCUUAAAGAGCUCGUAGGUGGUUAAGAAAGUUGGUGGUGAAAUCCCAAGGCUUAACCUUGGAACUGCCACCAAAACUUUUUGACUAGAGUAUGAUAGAGGUAAGUGGAAUUUCUAGUGUAGAGGUGAAAUUCGUAGAUAUUAGAAAGAACACCAAUUGCGAAGGCAACUUUCUGGAUCAUUACUGACGCUGAGGAGCGAAAGCAUGGGUAGCGAAGAGGAUUAGAUACCCUCGUAGUCCAUGCCGUAAACGAUGUGUGCUAGACGUUGGAAACUUAGUUUUCAGUGUCGCAGCAAAAGCGUUAAGCACACCGCCUGGGGAGUACNACCGCAAGGUUAAAAC